GGAAUAUUCCACAAUGGGGGGAACCCUGAUGGAGCGACGCCGCGUGAGUGAAGAAGGGUUUCGGCUCGUAAAGCUCUGUUGUUAGAGAAGAACGUGCGUGAGAGCAACUGUUCACGCAGUGACGGUAUCUAACCAGAAAGUCACGGCUAACUACGUGCCAGCAGCCGCGGUAAUACGUAGGUGGCAAGCGUUAUCCGGAUUUAUUGGGCGUAAAGCGAGCGCAGGCGGUUUCUUAAGUCUGAUGUGAAAGCCUUCGGCUUAACCGAAGAAGUGCAUCGGAAACUGGGAAACUUGAGUGCAGAAGAGGACAGUGGAACUCCAUGUGUAGCGGUGAAAUGCGUAGAUAUAUGGAAGAACACCAGUGGCGAAGGCGGCUGUCUGGUCUGUAACUGACGCUGAGGCUCGAAAGCAUGGGUAGCGAACA
This 424-nucleotide ribosomal RNA is filed under the name uncultured Lactobacillus sp. RNAcentral's name for it is "bacterial SSU rRNA". It matches the Rfam family "Bacterial small subunit ribosomal RNA", at positions 358 to 774 of the family's 1533-position model. The record is from RNAcentral. Lineage: Bacteria; Bacillati; Bacillota; Bacilli; Lactobacillales; Lactobacillaceae.